UUGUGAGCUCGAUGAGUAGGGCGGGACACGUGGUAUCCUGUCUGAAUAUGGGGGGACCAUCCUCCAAGGCUAAAUACUCCUGACUGACCGAUAGUGAACCAGUACCGUGAGGGAAAGGCGAAAAGAACCCCGGCGAGGGGAGUGAAAAAGAACCUGAAACCGUGUACGUACAAGCAGUGGGAGCACGCUUCGGCGUGUGACUGCGUACCUUUUGUAUAAUGGGUCAGCGACUUAUAUUCUGUAGCAAGGUUAACCGAAUAGGGGAGCCGAAGGGAAACCGAGUCUUAACUGGGCGUUAAGUUGCAGGGUAUAGACCCGAAACCCGGUGAUCUAGCCAUGGGCAGGUUGAAGGUUGGGUAACACUAACUGGAGGACCGAACCGACUAAUGUUGAAAAAUUAGCGGAUGACUUGUGGCUGGGGGUGAAAGGCCAAUCAAACCGGGAGAUAGCUGGUUCUCCCCGAAAGCUAUUUAGGUAGCGCCUCGUGAAUUCAUCUCCGGGGGUAGAGCACUGUUUCGGCAAGGGGGUCAUCCCGACUUACCAACCCGAUGCAAACUGCGAAUACCGGAGAAUGUUAUCACGGGAGACACACGGCGGGUGCUAACGUCCGUCGUGAAGAGGGAAACAACCCAGACCGCCAGCUAAGGUCCCAAAGUCAUGGUUAAGUGGGAAACGAUGUGGGAAGGCCCAGACAGCCAGGAUGUUGGCUUAGAAGCAGCCAUCAUUUAAAGAAAGCGUAAUAGCUCACUGGUCGAGUCGGCCUGCGCGGAAGAUGUAACGGGGCUAAACCAUGCACCGAAGCUGCGGCAGCGACACUAUGUGUUGUUGGGUAGGGGAGCGUUCUGUAAGCCUGUGAAGGUGUACUGUGAGGUAUGCUGGAGGUAUCAGAAGUGCGAAUGCUGACAUAAGUAACGAUAAAGCGGGUGAAAAGCCCGCUCGCCGGAAGACCAAGGGUUCCUGUCCAACGUUAAUCGGGGCAGGGUGAGUCGACCCCUAAGGCGAGGCCGAAAGGCGUAGUCGAUGGGAAACAGGUUAAUAUUCCUGUACUUGGUGUUACUGCGAAGGGGGGACGGAGAAGGCUAUGUUGGCCGGGCGACGGUUGUCCCGGUUUAAGCGUGUAGGCUGGUUUUCCAGGCAAAUCCGGAAAAUCAAGGCUGAGGCGUGAUGACGAGGCACUACGGUGCUGAAGCAACAAAUGCCCUGCUUCCAGGAAAAGCCUCUAAGCAUCAGGUAACAUCAAAUCGUACCCCAAACCGACACAGGUGGUCAGGUAGAGAAUACCAAGGCGCUUGAGAGAACUCGGGUGAAGGAACUAGGCAAAAUGGUGCCGUAACUUCGGGAGAAGGCACGCUGAUAUGUAGGUGAAGCGACUUGCUCGUGGAGCUGAAAUCAGUCGAAGAUACCAGCUGGCUGCAACUGUUUAUUAAAAACACAGCACUGUGCAAACACGAAAGUGGACGUAUACGGUGUGACGCCUGCCCGGUGCCGGAAGGUUAAUUGAUGGGGUCAGCGCAAGCGAAGCUCUUGAUCGAAGCCCCGGUAAACGGCGGCCGUAACUAUAACGGUCCUAAGGUAGCGAAAUUCCUUGUCGGGUAAGUUCCGACCUGCACGAAUGGCGUAAUGAUGGCCAGGCUGUCUCCACCCGAGACUCAGUGAAAUUGAACUCGCUGUGAAGAUGCAGUGUACCCGCGGCAAGACGGAAAGACCCCGUGAACCUUUACUAUAGCUUGACACUGAACAUUGAGCCUUGAUGUGUAGGAUAGGUGGGAGGCUUAGAAGUGUGGACGCCAGUCUGCAUGGAGCCGACCUUGAAAUACCACCCUUUAAUGUUUGAUGUUCUAACGUUGACCCGUGAUCCGGGUUGCGGACAGUGUCUGGUGGGUAGUUUGACUGGGGCGGUCUCCUCCUAAAGAGUAACGGAGGAGCACGAAGGUUGGCUAAUCCUGGUCGGACAUCAGGAGGUUAGUGCAAUGGCAUAAGCCAGCUUGACUGCGAGCGUGACGGCGCGAGCAGGUGCGAAAGCAGGUCAUAGUGAUCCGGUGGUUCUGAAUGGAAGGGCCAUCGCUCAACGGAUAAAAGGUACUCCGGGGAUAACAGGCUGAUACCGCCCAAGAGUUCAUAUCGACGGCGGUGUUUGGCACCUCGAUGUCGGCUCAUCACAUCCUGGGGCUGAAGUAGGUCCCAAGGGUAUGGCUGUUCGCCAUUUAAAGUGGUACGCGAGCUGGGUUUAGAACGUCGUGAGACAGUUCGGUCCCUAUCUGCCGUGGGCGCUGGAGAACUGAGGGGGGCUGCUCCUAGUACGAGAGGACCGGAGUGGACGCAUCACUGGUGUUCGGGUUGUCAUGCCAAUGGCACUGCCCGGUAGCUAAAUGCGGAAGAGAUAAGUGCUGAAAGCAUCUAAGCACGAAACUUGCCCCGAGAUGAGUUCUCCCUGACUCCUUGAGAGUCCUGAAGGAACGUUGAAGACGACGACGUUGAUAGGCCGGGUGUGUAAGCGCAGCGAUGCGUUGAGCUAACCGGUACUAAUGAACCGUGAGGCUUAACCUU
RNAcentral lists this ribosomal RNA (2547 nucleotides) under Escherichia coli. RNAcentral describes it as "partial 23S ribosomal RNA". It matches the Rfam family "Bacterial large subunit ribosomal RNA", at positions 397 to 2925 of the family's 2925-position model. The record is from RNAcentral. Lineage: Bacteria; Pseudomonadati; Pseudomonadota; Gammaproteobacteria; Enterobacterales; Enterobacteriaceae.